UGCAUAUCCAAAAAGCGGAGGAAAAGAAACCAACAGGGAUUGCCUCAGUAACGGCGAGUGAAGCGGCAAAAGCUCAAAUUUGAAAUCUAGCACCUUCGGUGUUCGAGUUGUAAUUUGAAGAUGGUAACCUUGGGUUUGGCUCUUGUCUAUGUUCCUUGGAACAGGACGUCAUAGAGGGUGAGAAUCCCGUCUGAUGAGAUGCCCAUUCCUAUGUAAGGUGCUAUCGAAGAGUCGAGUUGUUUGGGAAUGCAGCUCUAAGUGGGUGGUAAAUUCCAUCUAAAGCUAAAUAUUGGCGAGAGACCGAUAGCGAACAAGUACAGUGAUGGAAAGAUGAAAAGAACUUUGAAAAGAGAGUGAAAAAGUACGUGAAAUUGUUGAAAGGGAAGGGCAUUAGAUCAGACUUGGUGUUUUACGAUUAUCUUCUCUUCUUGAGUUGUGCACUCGUAUUUCACUGGGCCAGCAUCGAUUCGGAUGGCAAGAUAAUGGCAGUUGAAUGUGGCUUCACUUCGGUGGAGUGUUAUAGCUUCUGCUGAUAUUGCCUGUCUGGAUCGAGGGCUGCGUCUUUGACUAGGAUGCUGCGAAGUAGAAGCU
Molecule: ribosomal RNA, 591 nt
Filed under: Hansenula anomala
Lineage: Eukaryota; Fungi; Ascomycota; Saccharomycetes; Phaffomycetales; Wickerhamomycetaceae
Description: Wickerhamomyces anomalus partial large subunit ribosomal RNA
Rfam family: Eukaryotic large subunit ribosomal RNA
Source: RNAcentral